RNAcentral lists this transfer RNA (71 nucleotides) under Camelus ferus (Wild Bactrian camel). It matches the Rfam family "tRNA". Rfam says of the family: Transfer RNA (tRNA) molecules are approximately 80 nucleotides in length. Their secondary structure includes four short double-helical elements and three loops (D, anti-codon, and T loops). Further hydrogen bonds mediate the characteristic L-shaped molecular structure. tRNAs have two regions of fundamental functional importance: the anti-codon, which is responsible for specific mRNA codon recognition, and the 3' end, to which the tRNAs corresponding amino acid is attached (by aminoacyl-tRNA synthetases). tRNAs cope with the degeneracy of the genetic code in two manners: having more than one tRNA (with a specific anti-codon) for a particular amino acid; and 'wobble' base-pairing, i.e. permitting non-standard base-pairing at the 3rd anti-codon position. Lineage: Eukaryota; Metazoa; Chordata; Mammalia; Artiodactyla; Camelidae. The record is from Rfam by way of RNAcentral.
GAGGGUAUAGCUCAGUGGUAGAGUGUGUCUUGGCUCAUACAAGGUCCUGGGUUCAAUCCCCAGUCCCUCCA